GUGCUGAGGCAGAGCUGAGUUGCUCAGGCACCCGCAUCUCGUCGGACUUUAUGUCGCCUCAUCACCAAGAUGGGGAACGCGUUCCCAUCAUGUGGCUCUUCCAUCAAUUCUUAACUUUUGGCUCCAUGGUUUCUUGAAGACAGAGUGACCUUCACCACUCAAGACAGCAUCCUGAUUUCUGCCACUUUCGAGGAUGGGGUGGUGGGCUGGGAAGGGACGGUGCCUGUGGUCCGAAGCGGCACAGGUGUAGAGAUGGAAGUGCCCUUUGCUGGGCCAGCCAGAGGGGCACCACCCCAACACCAAUCAUAUCACAGAGAAACAGCACCCUUAGUUCCUAGAGUGUAACCAGAUCUUUGAGGCCAUCUCCAGAAACACUUCUUUUCCUGCUCUUUCUGCUCUGAUUUCCUUCCUGCCCCACCAGCGACACACAAGAAGAAGAAGAGGAAACGCACCAGGAAGUUUUCUCUUUGCUGCCAAACUUUUGGACCAAGUUUCAGAGGUGGGAAGUGGGAGAGCACAACGUGUUGAGAGGCAAGACCCGCAUCAAUAAAAGGACACUUCCGUGAAUGCUCAGAAAACCCAGUCUUACCUUCCAGCUGCCUUACACCCAGUUAAACAAGCGAACGCCCUGCCCCAAGCCCCACCUGCAUUCCCUGGGCAGACGAGAGCCUUGAAGUAACGCUGUGAUGUGCGUGCGUGCGUGUGUGUAUAUGUGUGUGUGUGUGUGUGUGUGUGUGUGUGUGUGUGUAUACUCAACUAUAGCACUUGAUUUCCCUUUUUUCUUCUUUUCACCUUUGAAAAUGGAAAUACUGCAUUAUGACUGUUGUCUAUCAUUUGUGGUGGUUUCAUGGUCCUGGAUGGAGGCCCCAACCAAGAAGCAUCAUGAGGGGAAGGCCUCCAGGGGUACCAUUUCUGCAGUUUCAGAUCCCUGGAGUAUGUGCGUGUGUGUGUGUAUGUGUGUAUCUCUCGGGUGCAUUUUGUGUACACUUGUGUCAAUAAGUACCUGGAUGCAGGCAUGCGUGUACUAUUCAAGACUUCCUUGCUAG
This 1046-nucleotide long non-coding RNA is filed under the name Sus scrofa (pig). RNAcentral describes it as "lncRNA (ENSSSCG00030025983.1)". The record is from RNAcentral. Lineage: Eukaryota; Metazoa; Chordata; Mammalia; Artiodactyla; Suidae.